CAGUCGCCGCGGUAAUACGAAGGGUGCAAGCGUUACUCGGAAUUACUGGGCGUAAAGCGUGCGUAGGUGGUUGUUUAAGUCUGUGGUGAAAGCCCUGGGCUCAACCUGGGAAUUGCAGUGGAUACUGGGCAACUAGAGUGUGGUAGAGGGUAGUGGAAUUCCCGGUGUAGCAGUGAAAUGCGUAGAGAUCGGGAGGAACAUCCAUGGCGAAGGCAGCUACCUGGACCAACACUGACACUGAGGCACGAAAGCGUGGGGAGCAAACAGGAUUAGAUACCCCAGUAGUCCCUGUCUCUUAUAC
RNAcentral lists this ribosomal RNA (301 nucleotides) under uncultured bacterium. RNAcentral's name for it is "partial 16S ribosomal RNA". It matches the Rfam family "Bacterial small subunit ribosomal RNA", at positions 509 to 807 of the family's 1533-position model. The record is from RNAcentral.